Molecule: ribosomal RNA, 793 nt
Filed under: uncultured bacterium
Lineage: Bacteria
Description: bacterial SSU rRNA
Rfam family: Bacterial small subunit ribosomal RNA
Source: RNAcentral
AGAGUUUGAUCAUGGCUCAGAUUGAACGCUGGCGGCAUGCCUUACACAUGCAAGUCGAACGGUAACAGGUCUUCGGAUGCUGACGAGUGGCGAACGGGUGAGUAAUACAUCGGAACGUGCCCGAUCGUGGGGGAUAACGAGGCGAAAGCUUUGCUAAUACCGCAUACGAUCUACGAAUGAAAGCGGGGGAUCUUCGGACCUCGCGCGGACGGAGCGGCCGAUGGCAGAUUAGGUAGUUGGUGGGAUAAAAGCUUACCAAGCCGACGAUCUGUAGCUGGUCUGAGAGGAUGAUCAGCCACACUGGGACUGAGACACGGCCCAGACUCCUACGGGAGGCAGCAGUGGGGAAUUUUGGACAAUGGGCGAAAGCCUGAUCCAGCCAUGCCGCGUGCAGGAUGAAGGCCUUCGGGUUGUAAACUGCUUUUGUACGGAACGAAAAGCCUCUUUCUAAUAAAGAGGGGUCAUGACGGUACCGUAAGAAUAAGCACCGGCUAACUACGUGCCAGCAGCCGCGGUAAUACGUAGGGUGCAAGCGUUAAUCGGAAUUACUGGGCGUAAAGCGUGCGCAGGCGGUUUUGUAAGACAGAGGUGAAAUCCCCGGGCUCAACCUGGGAACUGCCUUUGUGACUGCAAGGCUGGAGUGCGGCAGAGGGGGAUGGAAUUCCGCGUGUAGCAGUGAAAUGCGUAGAUAUGCGGAGGAACACCGAUGGCGAAGGCAAUCCCCUGGGCCUGCACUGACGCUCAUGCACGAAAGCGUGGGGAGCCAACAGGAUUAGAUACCCUGGUAGUCCAA